AGGCCCAACACAUGCAAGUCGAGCGGAUGAGAGGAGCUUGCUCCUGGAUUCAGCGGCGGACGGGUGAGUAAUGCCUAGGAAUCUGCCUGGUAGUGGGGGACAACGUUUCGAAAGGAACGCUAAUACCGCAUACGUCCUACGGGAGAAAGCAGGGGACCUUCGGGCCUUGCGCUAUCAGAUGAGCCUAGGUCGGAUUAGCUAGUUGGUGAGGUAAUGGCUCACCAAGGCGACGAUCCGUAACUGGUCUGAGAGGAUGAUCAGUCACACUGGAACUGAGACACGGUCCAGACUCCUACGGGAGGCAGCAGUGGGGAAUAUUGGACAAUGGGCGAAAGCCUGAUCCAGCCAUGCCGCGUGUGUGAAGAAGGUCUUCGGAUUGUAAAGCACUUUAAGUUGGGAGGAAGGGCAGUAACUUAAUACGUUGCUGUUUUGACGUUACCGACAGAAUAAGCACCGGCUAACUCUGUGCCAGCAGCCGCGGUAAUACAGAGGGUGCAAGCGUUAAUCGGAAUUACUGGGCGUAAAGCGCGCGUAGGUGGUUCGUUAAGUUGGAUGUGAAAUCCCCGGGCUCAACCUGGGAACUGCAUUCAAAACUGUCGAGCUA
Molecule: ribosomal RNA, 604 nt
Filed under: Pseudomonas sp. U5
Lineage: Bacteria; Pseudomonadati; Pseudomonadota; Gammaproteobacteria; Pseudomonadales; Pseudomonadaceae
Description: bacterial SSU rRNA
Rfam family: Bacterial small subunit ribosomal RNA
Source: RNAcentral